RNAcentral lists this ribosomal RNA (598 nucleotides) under uncultured bacterium. RNAcentral's name for it is "bacterial SSU rRNA". It matches the Rfam family "Bacterial small subunit ribosomal RNA", at positions 65 to 636 of the family's 1533-position model. The record is from RNAcentral.
UACGAGAAUCCCGAGCUUGCUUGGGAGAGUAAAGUGGCGCACGGGUGAGUAACGCGUGGGUAACCCACCUUCGAAUCUGGGAUAACUCCGCGAAAGCGGUGCUAAUACCGGAUAAGACCACAGCCGUUUCGGCGGCAGAGGUAAAAGCUGACCUCUCCAUGGAAGUUAGCGUUCGAGGACGGGCCCGCGUCCUACCAGCUUGUUGGUGGGGUAAAGGCCUACCAAGGCAGCGACGGGUAGCUGGUCUGAGAGGAUGAUCAGCCACACUGGAACUGGAACACGGUCCAGACUCCUACGGGAGGCAGCAGUGAGGAAUUUUGCGCAAUGGGGGAAACCCUGACGCAGCAACGCCGCGUGGGUGAAGAAGGCUUUCGGGUCGUAAAGCCCUGUCAGGUGGGAAGAACCGUUUCGAUACUAAUAAUGUCGAAGCCUGACGGUACCACCAGAGGAAGCACCGGCCAACUCCGUGCCAGCAGCCGCGGUAAUACGGAGGGUGCAAGCGUUGUUCGGAAUUAUUGGGCGUAAAGAGCGUGUAGGCGGUCCGGUAAGUCAGAUGUGAAAGCCCUGGGCUCAACCCAGGAAGUGCAUUUGAAACUAC